RNAcentral lists this non-coding RNA (674 nucleotides) under Brassica napus (rape). RNAcentral's name for it is "Eukaryotic small subunit ribosomal RNA". It matches the Rfam family "Eukaryotic small subunit ribosomal RNA", at positions 1132 to 1823 of the family's 1831-position model. The record is from Rfam by way of RNAcentral. Lineage: Eukaryota; Viridiplantae; Streptophyta; Magnoliopsida; Brassicales; Brassicaceae.
GGGGGCUGAAACUUAAAGGAAUUGACGGAAGGGCACCACCAGGAGUGGAGCCUGCAGCUUAAUUUGACUCAACACGGGGAAACUAACCAGGUCCAAACAUAGUAAGGAUUGAUAGACUGAGAGCUCUUUCUUGAUUCUUUGGGUGGUGGUGCAUGGCCGUUCUUAGUUGGUGAAGCGAUUUGUCUGGUUAAUUCUGUUAACGAACGAGACCUCAGCCUGCUAACUAGCUACGUGGAGGCAUCCCUUCAUGGUCGGCUUCUUAGAGGGACUAUGGCCGUUUAGGCCAAGGAAGUUUGAGGCAAUAACAGGUAUGUGAUGCCCUUAGAUGUUCUGGGCCGCACGCGUGCUACACUGAUGUAUUCAACGAGGUCACACCUUGGCCGACAAGCCCAGGUAAUCUUUAAAAUUUCAUCGUGAUGGGGAUAGAUCAUUGCAAUUGUUGGUCUUCAACGAGGAAUUCCUAGUAAGGACGAGUCAUCAGCUCGUGUUGACUACGUCCCUGCCCUUUGUACACACCGCCCGUCGCUCCUACCGAUUGAAUGAUCCGGUGAAGUGUUUGGAUCGCGGCGACGUGGGUGGUUCGCCGUCUGCAACGUCGCGAGAAGACCACUAAACCUUAUCAUUUAGAGGAAGGAGAAGUCGUAACAUGGUUUCCGUAGGUGAACCUACGGAAG